UUUCCGUAGGUGAACCUGCGGAAGGAUCAUUAUUGUAUAACCGAGGUGCGAGGGCUGUCGCUGACCCGAAAGGUCGUGCACGCCCAAGUGCCCUCACACACAUCCAUCUCACCCCUAUGUGCACCACCGCGUGGGUCCCCCUUUGGCUUGUUCGGAGGGGGGCUUACGUUUUCACACAAACUUUGUAUGCAGUGUAGAAUGUAUUUUUUGUUUUUGCGAUCACGCAAUCAAUACAACUUUCAACAACGGAUCUCUUGGCUCUCGCAUCGAUGAAGAACGCGGC
RNAcentral lists this unclassified non-coding RNA (283 nucleotides) under plant metagenome. Its description in RNAcentral is "partial contains small subunit ribosomal RNA, internal transcribed spacer 1, and 5.8S ribosomal RNA". The stretch from base 235 to 283 matches the Rfam family "5.8S ribosomal RNA", at positions 1 to 49 of the family's 154-position model. The record is from RNAcentral.